This 242-nucleotide small RNA is filed under the name Arabidopsis thaliana (thale cress). RNAcentral describes it as "ATSL021170". The record is from RNAcentral. Lineage: Eukaryota; Viridiplantae; Streptophyta; Magnoliopsida; Brassicales; Brassicaceae.
GCUAUUAUGGAGUCCUUUUACAUGUUCUCUCAUUAGCUUAUCUUUUAGGAGCUUUUCCUCCUUAUGUUUGUUUGCCCUUUAAUUUGGGUCUUAGUCUUUGGAGGUUUCUAUGUACCCAUCAAUGUUGUCUCCGAAAAGAUCUUGUUCUUGUCUGUUUUGUAUAUCUCUACCGCAGCUAAUGAAUGAAAUCUUUAGACGGAAAAAAAUAACACUAGACAAGAUGAAAUUAGGUUGAUGAAAUU